This 509-nucleotide ribosomal RNA is filed under the name uncultured bacterium. RNAcentral's name for it is "bacterial SSU rRNA". It matches the Rfam family "Bacterial small subunit ribosomal RNA", at positions 30 to 533 of the family's 1533-position model. The record is from RNAcentral.
AUUGAACGCUGGCGGCAUGCCUUACACAUGCAAGUCGAACGGCAGCGGACCUUCGGGUGCCGGCGAGUGGCGAACGGGUGAGUAAAGUAUCGGAACGUACCUUUCAGUGGGGGAUAACGUAGCGAAAGUUACGCUAAUACCGCAUAUUCUGUGAGCAGGAAAGCGGGGGAUCGCAAGACCUCGCGCUAUUGGAGCGGCCGAUAUCAGAUUAGGUAGUUGGUGGGGUAAAAGCCUACCAAGCCGACGAUCUGUAGCUGGUCUGAGAGGACGACCAGCCACACUGGGACUGAGACACGGCCCAGACUCCUACGGGAGGCAGCAGUGGGGAAUUUUGGACAAUGGGCGCAAGCCUGAUCCAGCCAUGCCGCGUGCGGGAAGAAGGCCUUCGGUGUAACCGCUUUGUCAGGGAGAAAUACUUCUGGGUUAAGUACCUCGGGAGGAGUGACGGUACCUGAAGGAAUAAGCACCGGCUAACUACGUGCCAGCAGCCGCGGUAAAGAGUAGUAGGA